RNAcentral lists this transfer RNA (74 nucleotides) under Ictidomys tridecemlineatus (thirteen-lined ground squirrel). Its description in RNAcentral is "Spermophilus tridecemlineatus (thirteen-lined ground squirrel) tRNA". It matches the Rfam family "tRNA". Rfam says of the family: Transfer RNA (tRNA) molecules are approximately 80 nucleotides in length. Their secondary structure includes four short double-helical elements and three loops (D, anti-codon, and T loops). Further hydrogen bonds mediate the characteristic L-shaped molecular structure. tRNAs have two regions of fundamental functional importance: the anti-codon, which is responsible for specific mRNA codon recognition, and the 3' end, to which the tRNAs corresponding amino acid is attached (by aminoacyl-tRNA synthetases). tRNAs cope with the degeneracy of the genetic code in two manners: having more than one tRNA (with a specific anti-codon) for a particular amino acid; and 'wobble' base-pairing, i.e. permitting non-standard base-pairing at the 3rd anti-codon position. The record is from Rfam by way of RNAcentral. Lineage: Eukaryota; Metazoa; Chordata; Mammalia; Rodentia; Sciuridae.
GGUGAUAUAGCUCAGUUGGUAGAGUGCUUGUCUUGCAUGCCACAAGACCCUGGGUUCAAUCUCCAGCAUCACAA